Molecule: ribosomal RNA, 431 nt
Filed under: uncultured bacterium
Lineage: Bacteria
Description: bacterial SSU rRNA
Rfam family: Bacterial small subunit ribosomal RNA
Source: RNAcentral
GUGAGGAAUCUUGCGCAAUGGGCGAAAGCCUGACGCAGCAACGCCGCGUGGAUGAUGAAGGCCUUCGGGUCGUAAAAUCCUGUCAGGAGGGAAGAAAUGGUAGCGGGCCAACACCCCGUUAUUUUGACUGUACCUCCAGAGGAAGCCCCGGCUAACUCCGUGCCAGCAGCCGCGGUAAUACGGGGGGGGCCAGCGUUGUUCGGAAUUAUUGGGCGUAAAGGGCACGCAGGUGGUCGUGCAAGUCGGUUGUGAAAUCCCUUGGCUUACCCAAGGAACUGCUUCUGAUACUGCAUGACUUGAGUCCGGGAGAGGAGAGCGGAAUUCCCAGUGUAGCGGUGGAAUGCGUAGAUAUUGGGAGGAACACCAGUGGCGAAGGCGGCUCUCUGGACCGGUACUGACGCUGAGGUGCGAAAGCUAGGGUAGCAAACAGG